Molecule: long non-coding RNA, 1176 nt
Organism: Chlorocebus sabaeus (green monkey)
Lineage: Eukaryota; Metazoa; Chordata; Mammalia; Primates; Cercopithecidae
Source: RefSeq, a predicted model, not a curated record
GCCAAGCCCGCCACCAACAGAUGACAGACAGCACUUUAGUUGUAUACAUCGUCUUUAAUUGAGAAAGCGUGGAGUGGAGAUCCGAUCCCCUGGGAGCAGUCCCAGGAGUUGGGUGGAGCCUGAGCGGGGUUUGUGUGGGGGUCAGGAAGAUGGACCAAUGGCAACAGAAGCUGAAGAGGGAAUAGGAUUGUCAUCUGCUGUCCCCAUUCUCCCCCUUCCCACCCAGCGGCCAGCUUCCCCUCUCACUGAAGGAGCUGGUAUCCUCUGGGGUGCCCUGGAUACUUCCGUCGGGAUUCGCCUGGAGGUAGAAACCCUGGCGGCAGAACAGUUUGGUGACGAUGCCUUUGAGCUGAGGCUCUGGAGAGAGAGACAUUCAUCUUUGAAAAUGACAUCUCUGUUCCCAGAAACAUUCCUACACUUGGCAGGAUCAGAGGAUGAAAGGAGAAUGAAAGGAAGAGGGUCCCAGGGCCCCAGCUCUCUUACCCUCCAAGCACACUCUCUCCCACCUCCCUUUCACUCCUGGGAAAGCUGAUGUGGGUCCCUUCUGCUUCCUAUAACCAGGAGCUUUCAGUGUAAUUUAUUGAAAUUUAUUUAAAUGGCUUAAUUCCUACCCUACAGCUUAACCAGAAGCGGGGAGGAGUGGGGGAGGAGGGAGGGGAGAGAUAUAUCAAAAGGCAGGGACAGAGGGAGACCAGCAGGGGUACUGAAGGGGCAGCGUGUUUGCGAAGGUGGGGGACAGUGGCAGCAGCAAAUUGACCACAGGGUAGGGGCUCUCCCUCAGGGGUGGGGGUGGGACUGGGCCUGACGCUGACUCAGCACCUGCUGCGGCUGCCGCUAGCUUGGCGAGAGCCUUGCCUUGGCCCAGUGCCGGUCUGUCUGACACUGACCCGUCUGUCUGUCUGUCUGCUGGCUCGCGGGGGCCCAGCUCUCCCUGAGGCUCAGCCUCUCCCCUUCGGCCAGGUAGCCCAGUAUGGAUCCUGCAGGAAGCUUGGCACUAUCCCCACUGCGUUGCUUUGUUUGCUCAGAUAUACCAGAACUCCCCAGGUCCUGACCCUCCUGGGGCCUGAAGAGGGAGUCAAGAUGGUUAACGUGCCUGGGCAGGAAGCCUGGGCGAUGAUGGACGCGGGAAGAGACUUUUGAGCACAGGUUCUUGGGAUCCACGGAGGAGCGAAUACG